CGGGUGGUAAUACCGGAUGCUCCGCUCCAUCGCAUGGUGGGGUGGGAAAUGCUUUUGCGGCAUGGGAUGGGGUCGCGUCCUAUCAGCUUGUUGGCGGGGUGAUGGCCCACCAAGGCGUUGACGGGUAGCCGGCCUGAGAGGGUGACCGGCCACAUUGGGACUGAGAUACGGCCCAGACUCCUACGGGAGGCAGCAGUGGGGAAUAUUGCACAAUGGGCGCAAGCCUGAUGCAGCGACGCCGCGUGCGGGAUGGAGGCCUUCGGGUUGUAAACCGCUUUUGUUCAAGGGCAAGGCACGGUUUCGGCCGUGUUGAGUGGAUUGUUCGAAUAAGCACCGGCUAACUACGUGCCAGCAGCCGCGGUAAUACGUAGGGUGCGAGCGUUAUCCGGAUUUAUUGGGCGUAAAGGGCUCGUAGGCGGUUCGUCGCGUCCGGUGUGAAAGUCCAUCGCCUAACGGUGGAUCUGCGCCGGGUACGGGCGGGCUGGAGUGCGGUAGGGGAGACUGGAAUUCCCGGUGUAACGGUGGAAUGUGUAGAUA
RNAcentral lists this ribosomal RNA (537 nucleotides) under Bifidobacterium animalis subsp. lactis. Its description in RNAcentral is "bacterial SSU rRNA". It matches the Rfam family "Bacterial small subunit ribosomal RNA", at positions 157 to 696 of the family's 1533-position model. Lineage: Bacteria; Bacillati; Actinomycetota; Actinomycetes; Bifidobacteriales; Bifidobacteriaceae. The record is from RNAcentral.